GAUGAACGCUAGCUACAGGCUUAACACAUGCAAGUCGAGGGGCGGCAUGGUCUUAGCUUGCUAAGGCCGAUGGCGACCGGCGCACGGGUGAGUAACACGUAUCCAACCUGCCGUCUACUCUUGGACAGCCUUCUGAAAGGAAGAUUAAUACAAGAUGGCAUCAUGAGUCCGCAUGUUCACAUGAUUAAAGGUAUUCCGGUAGACGAUGGGGAUGCGUUCCAUUAGAUAGUAGGCGGGGUAACGGCCCACCUAGUCUUCGAUGGAUAGGGGUUCUGAGAGGAAGGUCCCCCACAUUGGAACUGAGACACGGUCCAAACUCCUACGGGAGGCAGCAGUGAGGAAUAUUGGUCAAUGGGCGAGAGCCUGAACCAGCCAAGUAGCGUGAAGGAUGACUGCCCUAUGGGUUGUAAACUUCUUUUAUAAAGGAAUAAAGUCGGGUAUGCAUACCCGUUUGCAUGUACUUUAUGAAUAAGGAUCGGCUAACUCCGUGCCAGCAGCCGCGGUAAUACGGAGGAUCCGAGCGUUAUCCGGAUUUAUUGGGUUUAAAGGGAGCGUAGAUGGAUGUUUAAGUCAGUUGUGAAAGUUUGCGGCUCAACCGUAAAAUUGCAGUUGAUACUGGAUAUCUUGAGUGCAGUUGAGGCAGGCGGAAUUCGUGGUGUAGCGGUGAAAUGCUUAGAUAUCACGAAGAACUCCGAUUGCGAAGGCAGCCUGCUAAGCUGCAACUGACAUUGAGGCUCGAAAGUGUGGGUAUCAAACAGGAUUAGAUACCCUGGUAGUCCACACGGUAAACGAUGAAUACUCGCUGUUUGCGAUAUACAGCAAGCGGCCAAGCGAAAGCGUUAAGUAUUCCACCUGGGGAGUACGCCGGCAACGGUGAAACUCAAAGGAAUUGACGGGGGCCCGCACAAGCGGAGGAACAUGUGGUUUAAUUCGAUGAUACGCGAGGAACCUUACCCGGGCUUAAAUUGCAGAUGAAUUACGGUGAAAGCCGUAAGCCGCAAGGCAUCUGUGAAGGUGCUGCAUGGUUGUCGUCAGCUCGUGCCGUGAGGUGUCGGCUUAAGUGCCAUAACGAGCGCAACCCUUGUUGUCAGUUACUAACAGGUUCCGCUGAGGACUCUGACAAGACUGCCAUCGUAAGAUGUGAGGAAGGUGGGGAUGACGUCAAAUCAGCACGGCCCUUACGUCCGGGGCUACACACGUGUUACAAUGGGGGGUACAGAGGGCCGCUACCACGCGAGUGGAUGCCAAUCCCAAAAACCUCUCUCAGUUCGGACUGGAGUCUGCAACCCGACUCCACGAAGCUGGAUUCGCUAGUAAUCGCGCAUCAGCCACGGCGCGGUGAAUACGUUCCCGGGCCU
RNAcentral lists this ribosomal RNA (1358 nucleotides) under uncultured bacterium. Its description in RNAcentral is "bacterial SSU rRNA". It matches the Rfam family "Bacterial small subunit ribosomal RNA", at positions 28 to 1381 of the family's 1533-position model. The record is from RNAcentral.